AAGAGUCUCUAAGCUUGGAAGAGUGAGAGAGAUAGAAUUUUGAAAUUCGAAAUUUGAAAAUCUUUGCUCGAUUUGCUUCGAGGGUUCAAGGUUUUUAAUGGCGGGUUACGGAAUUGAAAGCGUGAUUCUAAUUCCGUUGAUUUGAAUUUGGGUUCCGCAACUGAAUUUGUUUUCGUUUGUGUGCUCUUCUUUGUUAUACAUGACUUUGUUUGAUGGCUGCGAUAAUGCCACGUCAUAGUUAUCAUCCGUCUAUCGACGGUCAAUAGAAGGAAUCUAGGUGAAAAAAAGAGAAUAUUACACUCUUAAACACUUUUUUAAAACUAUUUCUGUGUUUAGGCACUUUCAAAAGAUUAGGCACUUUUUUAUGUUUUUUUACUAAAAUACCCUCUUAACUAAAAUAUUAUCUUAACCCACGUUUUCUCUCUUUCUCUCUCUCUCUUCAUCUCUCUCUUUCUCUCUCUCUCUCUCUUCAUCUCUCUCUCUCUCUUCACCUCUCUCUCUCUUCAUCUUUGUAAAAAAUGAGAAGAAACUUCUUCUUCUUCAACAAUGGCGGUUUGAUUUGAUUUUUGCUCUCUCUCAUGUGUCAAACUCGUUUCAUCUACGUAGCAUCGAGAUUUCAGUUAAUCGAAUCUCCUGUUAUCAUGGACAUGUUAUAUAAAAUGGAUAUAGAUCAGUAAAAAGGUUUCCGAAUGGAUAUAUUUAAAUGGAUUCGUUAUUAUGGACACCAAAAAAUUGUUUGUUGAUUUUUUUUUCAGUUUGCAGAGACCUCCACCUUCAAAACCUUAUGGACAUGGAACUUUGGUUUCUUUACAAAACACGGUUAAUCGAAUCUCCUAUUAUUAUUGACAUGGUAUAUAGAAUGGAUACGGAUCAGUAGAAAGGUUUCUGAAUGGAUAUAUUUAAAUGGAUUUGUUAUUAUGGAUACCAAAAAAUUAUUUGUAGCAAAUCAACCGCAUAUAGCUUGUUUUUAGGAUGUUAGACAUGCUUCUCCAAUUCUUCAUCUUUUACUCUUAACAUGUAAGACCAAAAGAUUUACAAAUCUCACCAUAUCAAUCCAUAAUAUACAAUCCAUGAUGCGUCAUCCAUAAUAUGUCAUCCAUGAUUCAUCAUCCAUAAUGUGCCAUCCAUAAUUUGCCAUCCAUAAUGGACAUCACCAAUAACAAACGCCGUAAGAGCUACAAACACAUCCUUAGCCACCAAUGAAGAUUUACCAAACACAAAUAAUUCCAAUGAACAAGAUUUCAACAAGAACACAAAUUCUUUUUAAGAAAACACAAAUAACCCUAGUCAUACAGAAUUACUCGCCAAAUCAAUGAGAACACAAAUGCCUUGUAAUAAAUCACAAAUAACCCUAAUCAUCUAGAAUUAGUCGCCAAAUCUUACUUAAAUUAGAUCCAUCUUGAUAUCUCUUCUAAUCUAUGUUGUAUGCUUAGUUGUUUCCUAUUGAUUCCCAACUUGAUUAAAAACGAAAUCACCAAACAUAGCCAAAGAAUUCGCCAGAACUCCAUGACACUCUUCCGUAGCCAAAGAAUCGUUCAUCAUAAACAAACAAUCAAAU
Molecule: small RNA, 1558 nt
Filed under: Arabidopsis thaliana (thale cress)
Lineage: Eukaryota; Viridiplantae; Streptophyta; Magnoliopsida; Brassicales; Brassicaceae
Description: ATSL145350
Source: RNAcentral